This 816-nucleotide ribosomal RNA is filed under the name Triticum aestivum (bread wheat). RNAcentral's name for it is "partial small subunit ribosomal RNA". The record is from RNAcentral. Lineage: Eukaryota; Viridiplantae; Streptophyta; Magnoliopsida; Poales; Poaceae.
AUGAAGAAAAUGAUCAAGCUGGUACUACAACAGUGUCAAGUUUGUCAACUUGCGAAACCUGACCGUGUUCCUUACCCUGGUCUGUUACAGCCCUUGUCAGUGCCUUCGCAACCAUGGGAAAUGAUGACUAUGGACUUUAUUGAAGGUUUGCCAGUUUCACGACAAUAUAACUGCAUAUUGGUAGUCAUUGACAAAUUGACCAAAUAUGGUCAUUUCAUCGCUCUCAAACAUCCAUACACGGCUGCAUCGGUCGCUGAUUCCUUCCUAGAUCGUGUGUAUCGUCUUCAUGGCCUCCCUGUCUCAUUGGUUUCAGACAAAGAUCCUGUUUUUACCAGCAUAUUCUGGAAGGAAGUGUGUAGCAGAACUAGCAUUAAACUUCGCAUGAGCUCAGGUCAACACCCCCAGACUGACGGGCAAACCGAGCAUGUCAAUCAACAGGUGGAAGGCUAUCUCCGUUGUUUUAUCAAUGCACAUCCAAAUCGUUGGUCCAGUUGGUUGCCUCUAUGUGAACUCUGGUAUAACACAAACUGGCAUUCAUCGACAGGCCGUACUCCCUUCGAGUUGGUUUACGGGCAUCCUCCACGUUACUUUGGUAUUUCACCAGUGGAUGCCAUUGGAAACUCUGAUGUUCAGCAAUGGUUGAAUGAGCGGCAUGUUGUCAUGGAAUCUGUCAAGCAACAUUCUCUUAGAGCGCAACAACGGAUGAAAGCUCAGGCUGACAAGCACAGGACAGAGAGGUCUUUUGAAGUGGGGGAGUCAGUUUUCCUGAAAAUGCAACCAUAUUCAGUCUUCCAUUGCACCGCGCGCAAAUCAUAA